This 253-nucleotide ribosomal RNA is filed under the name uncultured bacterium. RNAcentral's name for it is "partial 16S ribosomal RNA". It matches the Rfam family "Bacterial small subunit ribosomal RNA", at positions 524 to 776 of the family's 1533-position model. The record is from RNAcentral.
UACGUAGGUGGCAAGCGUUGUCCGGAAUCAUUGGGCGUAAAGAGCGCGUAGGCGGUCCGGUAAGUCCGCUGUGAAAGUCAAGGGCUCAACCCUUGAAUGCCGGUGGAUACUGUCGGGCUAGAGUCCGGAAGAGGCGAGUGGAAUUCCUGGUGUAGCGGUGAAAUGCGCAGAUAUCAGGAGGAACACCAAUGGCGAAGGCAGCUCGCUGGGACGGUACUGACGCUGAGGCGCGAAAGCGUGGGGAGCAAACAGG